GGGGUUUACAUUCAGUCAGACAGGUUAAAAUCAAUCAGAUGAGGUUUAAAUUCAGUCAGACAGGUUAAAAUCAAUCAGAUGAGGUUUACAUUCAGUCAGACAGGUUAAAAUCAAUCAAAUGAGGUUUACAUUCAGUCAGACAGGUUAAAAUCAAUCAAAUGAGGUUUACAUUCAGUCAGACAGGUUAAAAUCAACCAGAAGAGGUUUACAUUCAGUCAGACAGGUUAAAAUCAAUCAAAUGAGGUUUACAUUCAGUCAGACAGGUUAAAAUCAAUCAGAAGAGGUUUACAUUCAGUCAGACAGGUUAAAAUCAAUCAAAUGAGGUUUACAUUCAGUCAGACAGGUUAAAAUCAAUCAAAUGAGGUUUACAUUCAGUCAGACAGGUUAAAAUCAACCAGAAGAGGUUUAAAUUCAGUCAGACAGGUUAAAAUCAAUCAGAUGAG
Myxocyprinus asiaticus (Chinese sucker) is the source of this 443-nucleotide long non-coding RNA. RefSeq lists it as uncharacterized. NCBI's taxonomy places the organism in Eukaryota, Metazoa, Chordata, Actinopteri, Cypriniformes, Catostomidae. The transcript has 7 exons. The record is from RefSeq and is a predicted model, not a curated record.